Rhinopithecus roxellana (golden snub-nosed monkey) is the source of this 401-nucleotide long non-coding RNA. RefSeq lists it as uncharacterized. The transcript has 3 exons. The record is from RefSeq and is a predicted model, not a curated record. NCBI's taxonomy places the organism in Eukaryota, Metazoa, Chordata, Mammalia, Primates, Cercopithecidae.
CCUCAGAUGAUCCACCGACUUCAGCCUAUGAAAUUGCUGAGAUUACAGGCCCAUCUGAGCCCUCAGAUGAUUCAGCCCUGGAUGACAACUAGACUGCAACUUGGUGAGAGGCCCUGAGUCCGAAGCUCACAGAGAAACCUCUCCUGGAUUCCUGACCAUUGGAAACUGUGAGAGCUGCGACCUGAACCCGAACUGGAGCCUCCUCCGCGAGUAUGAACAUAACCUCCGAGGGAGCCAGUUACCUAGUCCUAAACCAGGAACUGCGCUCUUGGACCCCAGAGGACAAGGCGGCUCAGAUGCCCUGGCAGAGGAACAUGCAGAGCUGCUGAAAACCUACCUGCAGAGAAGGUGGCCGGAGCGGCUCAACAAAGGUCUUAAGAAUGGGAAGGAGACGCUGCAGU